AACAAGGAUUCCCCCAGUAACGGCGAGUGAAGUGGGAAAAGCUCAACUUUGAAAUCUGGCUGUUUUACAGUCCGAGUUGUAGUCUCGAGAAGUGUUUUCCGCGUUAAACCGUGUAUGAGUCUGUUGGAACACAGCGUCAUAGAGGGUGAGAACCCCGUUCAUGACACGGCUUUUAAUGCUUUGUGAUACACUUUCGAUGAGUCGAGUUGUUUGGGAAUGCAGCUCAAAUUGGGUGGUAAAUUCCAUCUAAAGCUAAAUAUUGGCGAGAGACCGAUAGCAAACAAGUACCGUGAGGGAAAGAUGAAAAGCACUUUGGAAAGAGAGUUAAAAGUACGUGAAAUUGUCGAAAGGGAAACGCUUGAAGUCAGACGUGCACGGGAUUUAUUCCUAUUGCAGGCCAACAUCGGUUUUACGAGCCGGAUAAAGGUACAAGGAAGGUAGCAGUUUCGGCUGUGUUAUAGCCUCGUACUGAAUACGGAUUGUGAGACCGAGGGACGCAGCGCGCCGCAAGGCAAAGGGUCCGCCCUUUUCGCGCUUAGGAUGUUGG
Molecule: ribosomal RNA, 547 nt
Filed under: Erythrobasidium hasegawianum
Lineage: Eukaryota; Fungi; Basidiomycota; Cystobasidiomycetes; Erythrobasidiales; Erythrobasidiaceae
Description: partial large subunit ribosomal RNA
Rfam family: Eukaryotic large subunit ribosomal RNA
Source: RNAcentral